RNAcentral lists this ribosomal RNA (191 nucleotides) under uncultured bacterium. Its description in RNAcentral is "partial 16S ribosomal RNA". It matches the Rfam family "Bacterial small subunit ribosomal RNA", at positions 1309 to 1500 of the family's 1533-position model. The record is from RNAcentral.
AACCCGCCUGCAUGAAGUCGGAAUCGCUAGUAAUCGCGAGUCAGCAUAUCGCGGUGAAUACUUCCCGGGUCUUGUACACACCGCCCGUCACACCAUGGGAGUUGGCAACACCCGAAGUCGAUGAGCUAACCGUAAGGAGGCAGUCGCCUAAGGUGGGGUUGAUAACUGGGGUGAAGUCGUAACAAGGUAGC